This is a long non-coding RNA of Mesocricetus auratus (golden hamster), 351 nucleotides long. RefSeq lists it as uncharacterized. The transcript is spliced from 3 exons. The record is from RefSeq and is a predicted model, not a curated record. NCBI's taxonomy places the organism in Eukaryota, Metazoa, Chordata, Mammalia, Rodentia, Cricetidae.
UGUUGGCCCCUUGGGGUGUUGAUUGCUUCCUGGGUAACAGGGACAACAUGAGGAGAACUGCUGGUCACAAAGGCACUGCGCCCAACUGCCCCAUCCCAGCUGUUUACUGAAGGGUAAACAUAGCCUAAUACUCAAGCCUGUCUAACAAGCUCAGGAAACAGGACUCUGGCACCCGAAAGGAGCAUCUUCUGAGUCAAUGAAACUCCCGACUGUCAGGCUGUCCUAGUUCUGACGGCCUUGGUCUCUUAUGUGCCCUGAUGGAGCUGUGAAGACUGCCUGGUGGACUAGGGGAGGGAGUCACCCUGGUAGGCUGCCUCACCUCUCUGAAGGUUCUUCAGGUGCAGGCCAUGG